AGAAUAUAAGAAACCGUCUUUUAACUUUUGAAUAAAAAGCGCUAAAAAGCGGCUCCUAAAUCAGAUAUUUAAGAGCUGAUUUUUAGCUAUUUUAGUUAAAAGUAAAAAGACGGUUUCUUAUAUUCC
Brassica rapa (field mustard) is the source of this 126-nucleotide non-coding RNA. The record is from Rfam. Lineage: Eukaryota; Viridiplantae; Streptophyta; Magnoliopsida; Brassicales; Brassicaceae.